Molecule: long non-coding RNA, 175 nt
Organism: Leptidea sinapis
Lineage: Eukaryota; Metazoa; Arthropoda; Insecta; Lepidoptera; Pieridae
Exons: 3
Source: RefSeq, a predicted model, not a curated record
CAGUACAGAAGUAAAAUGAACUCCUACAUUACUUUGGCUUGCCUGUUGGCCGUUGCGGCAACGUCUCAUGCCUACGGCCUUGGGGGAUACGUUCCAGCACCAAUAAUAUCAGCACCGAUAAUUGCGCCAGCUGCGUAUUCCUACUCCAACUUGUACAAGGCAGCCCCGAUUCCCG